Mus musculus (house mouse) is the source of this 6396-nucleotide long non-coding RNA. RefSeq annotates it as predicted gene, 39099. The transcript is spliced from 3 exons. NCBI's taxonomy places the organism in Eukaryota, Metazoa, Chordata, Mammalia, Rodentia, Muridae. The record is from RefSeq and is a predicted model, not a curated record.
CUCGUGUGUGUGUGUGUGUGUGUGUGUGUGUGUGUGUGUGUGUGUGUGUAUGUGUGUCUCAGUUCUGCUGUGUCUGGAAAAUGCUGUUUCCCUGAGUCAUCUACCACCUCUGGCUCUUCCAGUCUUUCUGAAUCCUCUCCUCAUAGAUCCCGAGCCUUGAGGAGGGGGCUCAAUAAGGGCAUCCCAUUCAGGGCUGAAUGCUCCAAAGUCUCUCACUCUCACUACCUUAUCCAGUUGUGGGUCUCUGUGUUAGUUCCCAUGUACUACAAGAGGAAGCCUCUCUGGUGAUGGCUGGGCCCGGCAGGUACUGAUCUAUACAGUAGAGCAGAAUGUCAUUAGGAGUCAUUUUAUUGCUAUGUUCCUUUAGCAGGAUAACAGUUGUAGGUUUUCCCCAUAGGCCAAUGAACUAUUUAGUCUUAGCCACAUUAGCAGCACAAACUAAGGGUUCCACCUCACAGAGUAGACCUUAAAUUCAAUCAAAAAGUGGUUGGUUAAUCCCAUAGCAUUUGUGCCAUUAUUACACCAGUGUAUAAAGUCAGGUCUCGGUUACAGGUUGCAGGAUUUGUUAGCCAGGUGAAAUUAAUGGUUAUUUUCUCCUCCAGUAGCAUGCCCUGCUACCAUGAGUAUUCCAGUACCAAAAAUGUUAGUCAUCACGAAGCUUCUAGUUAAUUAAUUUAAGCGCUAUGUUUUCUAAAGGCCUUUGUUGCUGUGUUUUCAUAUAGAUUGCUGUUUCCUCACUUAAGAAUUGGCUUCUGCCAGGAAAGGUAUACAUACCUUUACUCUCAGCCCUUGGAAGGCAGAGGAAAGCAAAUUGAGUUUGAGGGAGACAAAUUGAGUCUGAGGCCAGCCUGGUCUAUUUAGUGAGUAAGCUCUGGGCCAACCAGAGUUUUGGGGGAAAGUGGGUGAGGGAGGUUCUUGACAUAAGGAAAGCUAACUGGGCUCUAUCCACCCUUGUGGGGCCUGGAGUAUGAACAAGACAUAUAUGUGUAUGGCAGAAGUACAUUCCUGUUUUCAAGCCAAGUGUUUAGGUUGAGGACUUGAGAGGAGGUAGAGCCGCUAGCCCUUCCCCACCAGUUUGUCCCUAAAGGUAUCUGAUACUCUCUGGAGUGGGAUGAAGACAAAUGUAGGAAGAUAGCCCAACUUUAUUUUUCUUAGCAAGUGAAAUAUGAAGUUAGGCCAGGAGCUUCCAAGUGUGGGUAAUGAGAAGCCCAAAAUCUUAAGGAAAAGCAAAAGAACAACCUCGGAAAACAAGCUGGAGCCUGGAUACAUCGAGCAACACUGCCCCUAGAAAGCGAAAAAGACACUCAAAGGGAAGAUUCCCAGCUGCCAUUGCUGGAGAAACAUGGUGGAUGUGGGAGCAGCAGCUACAGAAUGCAGGAUACACCAGACGGUGAUGGAGAACUUUGCCUUGGCUGAGUAUGGGUCUCUGGGUGCUGGGGAGCAGGCCAGAGUUCCCCAGGAGGAGAAAGAUGAAAGAAGCAUUUGGGAAAAUUAAAGUUAGGUGGGUUGUAAGACUUUUUGUUUGUUUGUUUUGUUCUUUGUUUUUCCAGAUAGGGUUUCUCGGUGCAAAAGUCCUGGCUGUGCUGGAAAUCACUUCAUAGACCACGCUAGGUUCAAACACACAGAGAUUCUUCCUGUUUCUGCCUCCUGUGGGCUGGGAUUAAAGGAGUGCACCACCAUGCCAGCUCAAAGGCUGUGAGACUUUUGAAAUUAGGAUUACAGGUUUGUUUGUUUGUUUGUUUGUUUUUUCCUGACUGAAAAAAAAAUGGAAUUAAGAACAAGAGGAAGAAGAAAAAGUUAGAAUCCUGAAAGCUUUGGGAUAUAAGAGAAAGAAUCCUUUCUCCAAGCCCGACCCAUCUUAGCAUCCCAAAUAGCUAAGACCAUAUCCUGAGAAAACCCAUGCAGUUAAGGAUUCAUUAGACAAGAGCUGCCUCCAGCUCCUUUGUAAGGAUGAUGCUCCUGUUCCUGAGGGUAGACUCCUCGAGAUUUACCACUUCCCAGGGACCCCAUCUCAUUAUACCAGGGCGUCUCGGCUUCAGCCUAUGGGUUUGGAAGGAUGAAAAUAUUCUGACUACAGCAGUGGCUACUUGCUUGAUCUCUGUAAGGCUGGAUUUUUCUGAAAUGCAAAGUGGAUAUAAUGGUAAUACUGAUGCCGACCUCAAAGGAUCACGGUAAGACAAUUACCGGUCCCACACUCAGCCAUCAGUGAACAGCAGCAGGCUGGGACCACCAGGUGGGUCUCCCUGACACUUACCCAAUGUUCUUGUCUCCUAAAGUCAAACCAACUGCUAGUUCCUAGACUUGGACCUAGGUUGGCCAUCAGGGCCUCUCUGUGCAGGCAACAGAAAGUGUUGAUGCUGUCUAAAUACUUGGUUUUAUUCUGAGGUGAUGGGCAUGACUUGUGGGACAGUCAACCCAGAGAGGACACAUCCCAGUGGAAAGGAGAGGAGUCCCAGUUGACUUCUGGGGACUGUUUUCGUUUUCUCAGAAAACUUCUCAGGUUAAACAUGGUCAUGAACAAGGAUGCUGAGAAGUGGGGUGGGCCCUUCAGCUUUCGCUGGGAGCAUCUUACUCUCUUUCUGUUCUGUUGCAUAAAAUCUGAGCUCCAGAUCCUCUGAGACCUUGCAAGGUUAUGUUUUAAGCAGGACUUUUAAUCAAGUUGUUAGGAGUGUGAGGACACAGAACAUCUGCCUGGAGGAGACAGACAGACAGACAUGCGUGUGCUCACACACAAGCAUACACAUACUUGGUCUUUUCUCCCAGCAAUGCAGAUUCAAAGAUCUGCAGGGCUUCUUUUUUUUCCCCUGGUGCCAUUUCUCCAUCUCAAGUGUGCUCUCCUCAUUUACAACACCUUCGAAAUGAACGAAUGAGGCCUGAUGAAUAGUUAAAGGCGUGAUUAGAAGUAGGUACCUGGUUUUGUUUCUCUCCUAAACUGGUUGAUUUAUGCCUUGUUGUGAUUUUUUUUAAGGACACAAAACUACUAAUUUAUGUGUGAAAAGGACAUUGAAUUAAUCCUGAAGAUCCCAGCAGCCUUUAAAGAUCCGAAUCAUAUGUCGGGCUCGUUUAAAACUUGCAUUGGAAAUUAAGGCGGAAGAAAGCCCUUUAAUUUGAAAAGAUGUCACACGGUCGUUAACGGGAUUCGGGAAGACCACAGGAAUUUUGCAAAAACACUUAGCAGAUGAGAAAAUGACCAUUCUUCAGUCUAAAGGAGAAAAGAAUGGGCGGGUGUAAUACUGAGGACACUCAAAGUGGGAUGAUCUGAGUGCUGUGAACUAAGUUUGGGACACUGCAUGAUUUGCCUGGAUAAUUUUAUCAAAAUGAUACUCUCUAAGACCAUGCUGUGAAAAUCGGCCAUGAAGAUCGACCUACAGAGAGCAAUGGGCUCUGGCUUCCUUCUUGUUCCUAUUGCCAUCCUAGUUUCAGGCUGGUUUAGAUGGCAAAACUCCUAGGAUAAAGAAAGGGGACCAAGGCUGAGAAGAAGCAAGAUAUUCCUACUAUCUAUCAAAGGAUGCCUUCUACAAUCAGUUGGCUUCAGGAGCCUAAGCCUCUGCACUACAAGGUAGGAGUGUUUGGGGAAGGCUCACCCUGAGUUCUUUGGAGCUUAUGACCUGGGCAAGAUUGUGGUCACUUACCACAACAGGCAGACAUUGUUGAUGCAUGUGGUGAGCCAGGACGUGCAGAGUUCCCCCAACCACAGCUACUGUUUGAAUGUGAGAUGUCCUUCACAGGUUCACAUCUGAACACUUGGUCAUCAGGUGGUAGCACUGUUCUAGGAGGUUGGAGAACAUUUGGGAGGUAAGAUCUGGCUAGAGGAAGUGGAUCACUGGGGCCGGGGCUUGUGGUUUGUGCCAGCUGUGUUUGCUUCUAGCUUCCUGUCUGCUUGAGUGUGAGGAGGCAAGGUGUCCACUAGGUGGAGCUGCUGGCCAUCAUGUCUCCUCGCCCUGACGGUAUCCCUUAAACUGUGAGCCCAAAUAACUUUUCCUGUAUUUUCUGUCAGAUAUUUGGUACAGUAACAAGUUACUGAUGCAACCACUUUGCUGGAUCCACCCACAUUGGAGGACUGGAGUGAGAAGAUUGAAUGGGGAGGGAGAUGGAAAAGAGGGAUAAGAGAGGGGCGUGGGGAGAGAUGGUCAAAGAGACCCUGUGGAAAACCCCAAACAUCUCAGGUAUUGCCCAGGCUAUUGGUUGUUCUCCAUAAACUGAAAGAUAGUAAGGCCUGACUGCUGAAGUCAACACUUACACAUCUCAUUGAACACAGUCAAGCUGGUGCCUAAUUAGAGAGUUAAUCACUAGUAAUUUUAUGGUACUGAAAAGUACUCUGUACACUACCAGAGAAUAACGAUGAACAUCAACCCAGCUAAAAACCCUCCAGUCUACAAUGGUGGCUUGCCCACAAGAUAUGCUGGUGCCAUAUUGGUACAAAUCUUGUGAGAAUAACCAACCACUCUGUCAUUGAAUUUAAGAGCCAGUCCAUGAAAUGGAACCCAUGCCUGACACUGCUUGGGUGACCAAGAACCUGAGUCUAGAUAGUCCAUGGGCCUAAGGAAAGACUGUUAUUCUGCUAACGGAGGAUAGCAGUAAGAUGACUCCUAAUAACAUUCUGCUAUAUCCGUAGCAGAAUCAGUACCCGGCCCAGUCCUCUUGCGGUAGAUAGGAACUAACACAGAGACCCUUAGCUGGACAAUGUGCAGAAAGUGAGAGAAAGUGAGAUUCUGGAACACUCAGUGCUCAAUGACAUGCCUUCAUCAAAACUCUCAAGGAUCCAUGAUGAAGAGGAUGCAGAAAGAUCAUAAAGGUCUGAGGGGAUGGAUGACUUCCAGGAAACAGUGCCCUCCGGACAAAACAAGAUUGAUACACGUAUGAGCUACAGAAACUGGGGCAGGUGCACAGGGCUGAACAGGUGGAAGCCUGAUAGGGUACUGCACUAAGAGAGAGGUAGACACGAGCUCUUACCCCCUAAUCAAGAUGCUGACUGCAACUGACACAUGCUUACAAAGGAAAAAUCAGUUUCACCAGUGGAACCUCACUGGGUGGGCCCCAUGCCCAUGCCCAGCAGUAAAUGGCCAACACAAAACUAACUCAAAGACAUUGUUGUAGUUUUUUUUUUUUUUUUUUUUGCGUCAUAUUGCUUUGGUUGGGCUUGUAUAUUAUGGUUUCUGAUUUUAUGUUUUGUCGAUUUCGUCUUGUGUAUGUAUGAGAGUUUCUUUUGUUCCUCCCACCUCCCAUCUCCCGUUUUUUGUUUGUUUGUUUGUUUGUUUGUUUACCUAUUUGCUUUCUAAAGAGAGAGAAAGGAAGGGUGUGGAGUUGUAUGAGUGUGUGAAAGGAUCUGAGAGAAGUUGGGGGAGGGGAAAACAUGAUCAGAACAUUUUGUACAAAAUUCUUUAAUGAAAAAUAUUUUUAAAGAGUUUGAAGUUAGCCAGGGUAAAAAACUAGGCCCUAUGUUUUUUUAAGUGUUAGUUUUGACAAAUGUCAGCUUUACAGAGUUUUGUUUUCUCUAUCUACGGACUGAUUGAUGUUCAGAUAAGAACAAGGGAUCAUUAUUUUGUUAGUGUGGCAGGUAUUGUAGAGAUGUUUGGUUUUUGUUUUUGUUUUGUUUUUGUUUGUUUCUAUUUAAAAGGCCUUUCUGAGCCAGUGAGAUGGCUCGGCAGGUAAAGGUGCUUGCCAUCCAAGCCUGAUGACACGAGUUCAGUCCUUGGAACCCAUAGUGGAAGGAGAGAGCUGUCUCUUGAAAGGGAUCCCUAACCUCCGCAAGCAGGCCGUGGUGUGUGAAUGGUAAAUAACCAAAAUACUGUCAAUGAAAGCAUGAAGCCCUUCUGAAGUUUGCAAGUUGGUCAGAUGUUCAGGGUUUGCUCAGCAUUCUAUCUGUGUAUCUAACAAAAUUUGGAAGCCCUAAAUAGGGGUACAGAUUAUUGUUCUCUGUGUGUUUGGCACACAGCGAGCCUGCUAUGAAGAGCUGUUGAAGGUUAGAACUGGGCUUGGGAGGGAAAUACUCUGGUUCACCGACUGACUGAUGGAUAAAUAAGCUGUGGUACGUCCAUGCAGUGGUACAUUUGCUUGCUAUAAAAAAAAAAAAAAAAAAAAAAAAAGCAUGGAUUCAUGCUACAAGGAGGGUGUGAUGCUAAGCCAAAGAAGUCAACCCCAAGGAUCCACACAGUUUUUUUUUUUCCAUUUCAAAUCUACAGGCACAGAAAGGCUGUUGGCAGUUAUCUGGGGGCUGGAUGAGAGACUGGGAGACAAGGGGAGAGAUUGCUAGUGAGUAUGGGGCUUCCCGCUGGCAGUUGAUUGAUUGGUAGUGCUCAGAUAAAACUCAAUGCAAAAAACAUUCUGAAACUUACAGAGGAGAAAGUGGGGGAAAGCCUCGAAGAUAUGGGCACAGGGGGAAAAUUGCUGAACAGA